Molecule: ribosomal RNA, 803 nt
Filed under: uncultured bacterium
Lineage: Bacteria
Description: bacterial SSU rRNA
Rfam family: Bacterial small subunit ribosomal RNA
Source: RNAcentral
GAAUUCGCCCUUAGAGUUUGAUCCUGGCUCAGGACUAACGCUGGCGGCGUGCCUAAUACAUGCAAGUCGAACGGUCGUGCGUUUGUAGCAAUAUGGACGUACGAUAGUGGCGAACGGGUGAGUAACACGUGGAAAACCUACCCUCGAGCGGGGGAUAACUCCGGGAAACUGGGGCUAAUACCGCAUGACAUCCCAACCUGGCAUCGGGAGGGGAUCAAAGCCGAAAGGCACUUGAGGAUGGUUCCGCGGCCUAUCAGCUAGUUGGCGGGGUAACGGCCCACCAAGGCGACGACGGGUAGCCGGCCUGAGAGGGCGAUCGGCCACAAGGGGACUGAGACACGGCCCCUACUCCUACGGGAGGCAGCAGUAGGGAAUUUUGCUCAAUGGGGGAAACCCUGAAGCAGCGACGCCGCGUGGGCGACGAAAUCCUUCGGGAUGUAAAGCCCUUUUAACCGGGACGAAAUACAUGACGGUACCGGUGGAAUAAGCCUCGGCUAACUCCGUGCCAACAGCCGCGGUAAGACGGGGGAGGCAAGCGUUGUCCGGAAUCACUGGGUGUAAAGGGCGUGUAGGCGGGCCGGCUAGUCGGUUGUUAAAUCUCUCCGCUCAACGGAGAAGCUGCGGCCGAUACUUCCGGUCUUGAGUGCGGCAGGGGAGGAUGGAAUUCCUGGUGUAGCGGUGAAAUGCGUAGAUAUCAGGAGGAACACCGGUGGCGAAGGCGGUCCUCUGGGCCUGCACUGACGCUGAGUGCGCGAAAGCUGGGGUAGCAAACAGAAUUAGAUACUCUGGUAGUCCCAGCCCUA